Molecule: ribosomal RNA, 274 nt
Filed under: uncultured bacterium
Lineage: Bacteria
Description: partial 16S ribosomal RNA
Rfam family: Bacterial small subunit ribosomal RNA
Source: RNAcentral
AGACGGAGGGGGCUAGCGUUAUUCGGAAUUACUGGGCGUAAAGGGCGCGUAGGCGGAUUAGUAAGUUGGGAGUGAAAGCCCGGGGCUUAACCUCGGAACUGCUUUCAAAACUGCUAGUCUUGAGUGAAGUAGGGGGUGAUGGAAUUCCUAGUGUAGAGGUGAAAUUCUUAGAUAUUAGGAGGAACACCGGUGGCGAAGGCGGUCACCUGGACUUCAACUGACGCUGAGGCGCGAAAGCGUGGGUAGCAAACAGGAUUAGAAACCCUAGUAGUCC